Molecule: unclassified non-coding RNA, 333 nt
Filed under: Hevea brasiliensis (rubber tree)
Lineage: Eukaryota; Viridiplantae; Streptophyta; Magnoliopsida; Malpighiales; Euphorbiaceae
Source: RNAcentral
AACUCCACCCUCUAAGCCACCCAAGUAUCCUCCCAAAUUUCCACCCAAACACCCACCCAAAGUAAAGCCACCUGCUCACCAUAAACCACCAAAGCCACACAAGCCUCCUGUUGUCAAACCACCCAAGCCUCCUAUUGUCAAACCACCCAAGCCUCCUGUUGUCCGCAAACCACCCUGUCCACCCAAGCCACCCAUUGUGAAACCACCAACCAUACCCAAACCUCCCUAUGUACCCAAGCCACCCAUUGUGAAACCACCAACCAUACCCAAACCUCCCUAUGUACCCAAGCCACCCAUUGUGAAACCACCAACCAUACCCAAACCUCCCUAUGU